This 1905-nucleotide ribosomal RNA is filed under the name Triticum aestivum (bread wheat). RNAcentral's name for it is "partial small subunit ribosomal RNA". Lineage: Eukaryota; Viridiplantae; Streptophyta; Magnoliopsida; Poales; Poaceae. The record is from RNAcentral.
AUGGAUGCCGGCCUGCUAGCAAUGGCCUGCUCUGGCCCUUUCCAAGAUCUGGAAUCACUCCUCAACGGGAAGCCAGCCGUCUACACCCUCGGAAGCUCGGCAAGGCAGCCACCUCAUCUGUACGCGGUCACCGUUGGAGGUGAGUCCCUUCUCCACUUGGUCGCUGCCGUCUACGGCGAUUCUGAGGACUCCACCAAGAAGGCCAGCCUCCUCUACGACAAGGCACCCAGCCUCCUCUUCGUGCAAAACAGCCAGGGGGACACACCCCUGCACUAUGCUGCACGGGCGGGCAACAUGAGAAUGGUGGCUCUUCUCAUUGAUCUCGCCAAUGGUGAGGGUAUUAACAAUGCAAAGGGACUUCUUGAAACACAAAACAAGAUCCAUGAGACAGCCUUGCAUGAGGCCGUCCGCUCUGGGAACAAUGAUAUGGUCAAGUUGUUCAUGGAGGAGAACCCACAACUGGCCCGGUUUCCUGAACAAGGUACUUCGCCGUUGUACCUAGCCGUUUUACUGGAAAACAAAAUCAUCGCAAAAACACUCUACGACUUGAGUGGCGGGCUUCUUUCAUACUUUGGACCAGAUGGACGAAAUGCAUUGCAUGUGGCUGUUCAAGGAAGCCAAGAUCUUAUGAAGAUGUUGUUAGAGUGGAACGACAACCUUACGUUACAAGGGGACAAAAACGGAAGUACACCUCUUCACUUUGCUGUUAUCGGUACUCUACGGCAAAUAUGUUCACAAUUAUUGAUAGCCAGUCCAGAUGCAUUGUAUCAACACGACCAUAAUGGAUCAUUUCCCACACACGUGGCUGCCUCCGUCGGUGCAACAAGGGUCAUCGCUGACUUUCUUAUGAAAUCCCCCAAUUGCGCUGAUCUGCGUGAUGCAAGGGGAAGGACAUUUCUUCAUGUUGCAGUUGAUAGAAUGGAUAUAGGGACUGUCGAUUAUGCUUGUCGAAACAUAUCGUUGUCAUGGAUUUUGAAUAUGCAAGACAAAGAUGGGAACACUGCACUGCACCUAGCUAUAAGAAAAGGAAGUCUACGAAUGUUUUGUUCUUUACUCGGUAAUAGACAAGUACAAUUGAAUUUAAAGAACGAGAAAGGGAAGACUCCGCUAGAUACAGCGCGUCACGCUAUUCCUAAAGGAAUAUAUGUCAAAGGGGAAAAUGAAGUAAGGAUACUCAAAGCACUCAAAUAUGUUGGUGCUAAAAGGGGUAUUGUUCACCAGGGAUUCUUGGAUGAAUAUGAUAUUGACCAAGCAAGACAGGAAGAAAUACAUAUAAUGAGUCAAGUGAAAGAGGGAACACAAAGUUUAUGUAUCGGCUCGGUCUUAAUUGCAACCGUCACAUUUGGUGCAACUUUCACUAUGCCAGGAGGUCUUAGAGAUGAUGAUGAAACUAAUGCAGGCUCACCAAUACUUGCUGGAACAUUUCAUUUUUAUGCAUUCAUUGUGGCCAACACACUUGCCUUCACCCUCUCGGUCAUGGCUACAAUUUCUUUCAUAUUUUCUGGGGAUCCUAUGGUACAUCUUCGAACAAGAAAAGUGCUAUUUAUAAGGGCCAUCCCUCUCUUGCUGAUUUCAGUGUCAAGCAUGGUAGUUGCCUUUGCACUUGGUACUUAUAUGAUGUUAGCUCCAAUUGCUCCUGUGUCUGCACUUGCAAUAUUUCUCAUCUUGAUUCUCAUAUUGGUGUAUUACUCUUGGGGAAUGACAAUCAGCCGUAUUGUUCUCUUCACUGCACUCUGUAAGAGAAAGGGGAAAUGGUACGGGAUAGUCUGGGCAUGGCCAUGUGCAUUCUUACUCGUGGUCCUUAUCCUUUCUUCUCUACUAUUGCUGGCCUUUAAGUUGGCCCAGGUGAGUCACACCGGUGGCAAAGUGGAACCACCAGCACAACCGCCAACACCAUUUGCUUGA